AGUUGGUCCGAUGGUAGUGGGUUAUCAGAACUUAUUAACAUUAGUGUCACUAAAGUUGGUAUUCAACCCCCCACUGCUAAAUUUGACUGGCUUUAA
This 96-nucleotide Y RNA is filed under the name Microcebus murinus (gray mouse lemur). RNAcentral's name for it is "Y RNA (ENSMICG00000046798.1)". It matches the Rfam family "Y RNA". Rfam says of the family: Y RNAs are components of the Ro ribonucleoprotein particle (Ro RNP), in association with Ro60 and La proteins. The Y RNAs and Ro60 and La proteins are well conserved, but the function of the Ro RNP is not known. Lineage: Eukaryota; Metazoa; Chordata; Mammalia; Primates; Cheirogaleidae. The record is from Rfam by way of RNAcentral.